RNAcentral lists this long non-coding RNA (367 nucleotides) under Mytilus galloprovincialis (Mediterranean mussel). Lineage: Eukaryota; Metazoa; Mollusca; Bivalvia; Mytilida; Mytilidae. The record is from RNAcentral.
AUAAAAUCAAUAGUCUACACAAAUAUUUACAAAGGUCAGUCGCUAUAAAUUAUGAAAUCACUCGCGGCACGAAAUAAGUUCUGAACGGUCUCUGAUGAGGUCGUCUAUUUUACAUUAAAUUAUCAUGAAUUUAUUAUAAUUGUCCUAAUCCUUUUAUCUAUAGUAAUUAAUGAGUUUUAAAUAUAACGAUUCAUUUAAUCUCGGCUUGGGUCAUUUAAAUUUGUUUCGUUUUCAUCUCAGAUGAAAAAUGUUCAACACACUAACAUUCCGCUUGAACGAUCAACAAAGGUGUUAAUUAGCGGUCACCAUAAACAGGUCAUUUUAACUGUUAUACAAACAAGUAUGUUUACUCAGCUUUAAUCUUUUU